UCCUCACUGGCUUAGUGGUAAAGAAUCUGCCUGCAAUGCAGGAGAUGCGGGUUCAGUCCCUGGGUCAGGAA
RNAcentral lists this transfer RNA (71 nucleotides) under Capra hircus (goat). It matches the Rfam family "tRNA". Rfam says of the family: Transfer RNA (tRNA) molecules are approximately 80 nucleotides in length. Their secondary structure includes four short double-helical elements and three loops (D, anti-codon, and T loops). The record is from Rfam by way of RNAcentral. Lineage: Eukaryota; Metazoa; Chordata; Mammalia; Artiodactyla; Bovidae. RNAcentral also lists the same sequence under 1 other name.